Molecule: long non-coding RNA, 448 nt
Filed under: Nicotiana benthamiana
Lineage: Eukaryota; Viridiplantae; Streptophyta; Magnoliopsida; Solanales; Solanaceae
Description: long non-coding RNA (NBEN_LNC014436)
Source: RNAcentral
GUAGCAUCAAUACCUGCUUCAAAUGCACCUACUGAAGCAUCAAUUACAAGAAUUGCUGCAUCUGCUUGUGUUGCCCCUGAUAUCAUAUUUGGGACAAAGUCCCUGUGACCUGGGGAAUCAAGCAGAACAACACGGUAACAUUUCGUGUUAAAGUAGGCAACGCCCACUGUCAUAGUUAUUCCCCUCUCUCUUUCUUCAGCACUCACAUCCAAUGCCCAAGCGUAACCAGACGACCCUUUUCCCUGAUUAAAUAGACUGGUAACGUUUUGUGUUAAAGUAGGCGACGCCCACUGUCAUAGUUAUUCCCCUCUCUCUUUCUUCAGCACUCUCAUCUAAUGCCCAAGCAUAAGCAAACGAGCCUUUUCCCUGAUUAAAUAGACAAUAGACUUUUCAAUAAACUUGUAAAGAUUUGAAAGUAUCGUACAAAAAGGAUGAAGAUAUUCACUUG